Molecule: long non-coding RNA, 1595 nt
Organism: Patiria miniata (bat star)
Lineage: Eukaryota; Metazoa; Echinodermata; Asteroidea; Valvatida; Asterinidae
Exons: 5
Source: RefSeq, a predicted model, not a curated record
GACGUGUACUCGGCGCUGUUGUGGCGCAUUCGUUCAGUAGACAUCAAGUUGAAAGCAUCCAGUGCAUUUCCGCCUCCUGACUUUGCUUUGGUUUUCAAGUCUGUUUCAACCUGAAAUAUUAGCCAGAAUGAAGGUUUACAUGUGCCUGCUUCUCCUGAUGGUCGUUGGAUGUGCCUUCGGUUUGGCAGAAACGGACGACUUUCUUGCUGAGAAGUCCAUGCGAGAACUGGAAUCUCGCGAGAUAGUGAAGAGGCAGCACUGGAAAAUGUGCACAUAUGAUUACCAAUGUACUUAUAACUGGUGUUAUAAGGGCCAUUGUUGGUGGGGGCCGAGGGAUGGAAACGACAAGUAAAACUGACAAUCCACACGAAUGGACGGAUGAAACCAUGAUCGACAAAGGUUAACCGACAGCAAGGCUUUAUUUUGAUUCAAUAAAAAGAUUUGACAUUAAUUCAUUUUUCUUCUUUCUUGGUAAGAUUGUCUCACUUUUGUUAACAAUAGUGGGUCCGUGUUCCAGCCAGUAUUUCCAUUGAUUCCGUGACAGUGCUGUUCACGUCUGAAGUCUGCUCACUGUGAAUUUAAAGAGUGAUAUUGAAAUCAAAAGAACGCAUACAAGUCCAAAUUCUUCUCGUCAUUUAAAUGACACUAAUUAUGAGCUCGAGCACGGACUUCAUUAUUAUCUCCACUGUGUUGUGUUAAACAAAUCUGUGUUUUAAAUCUAACUUUGUUCCUGUCUGUAAUGUUUAUGUUCUUGGGUUUUUGGGGGUAUCGGUGGUGCGUGGUUAUCAUUAUCCAUAAUGAUGGGUAAAAUCCACUUUUAAAAUAUCCAUUAAUAUUAAUCCUGAUCCUUCAUGUAUCGUUUAAGCAGCGCUGGGAUAUGGAAACGUUUGCAUCCGAGGAUUUUUUUUAGGAAAGGGCGGAACACAACCCCUAGAGAAACAUAAGAAGGUUAAUUUCUAAAUUGGCACACUUCUUUAUCGUGAUUUCAAAUCAAACAUACAUUGAGAGUUAGCCACUAACAUUGAGGUUAGAUUAGAAUGCUUGUUCAGAAAAGCUGCGAUGUACUGCAUUUUGGUUGCGAUCGUUAAAUUUGUAUUCCAGUACGUACAGUAACGGCAACGUAGCAAUACCAUCAUAAAAUAGCCAUAUGUUACGCCCCAACUAUAUCACAUCCUCCCAACUAUAGUUGGGACCAUUACUAUAUAGUUUGGGCGUACAAAUAUGUUUAAAUGUGAUUGAUCUUGUCGCAGAGGAUGUAAUCUGAGAGAAUACUAUUCCUUUGAAAAUGAUAAUUGUUAUAUCAAUGUAAACAGGAAAUGUCGUUGUGUAAAAUACUCGGCCAUAUUGCACAUCUUUCUUGCAAAACUCGGAUAGGCUGUUAGAUGGGUUGAUGGAAUUUAUUCCUACAACAGGUGUUUGUUAACUGUGAAAGGAGAUCCAGUUCUUUAAAUAGGACAUUACAAUUAUUCCUUACUAAUUGAAUGUGGGCUAUUUCUCAUCAUUUUUUUCGUCUUUUGAUGAUUCCUCUUUCGGAAACGUACUGAGAAUGUUGUAGCUUCGUGGCAAAAUAAAUUGACUCCUGCGUGAAAAAAAUA